UACGGAGGGAGCAAACGUUGUUCGGAUUUACUGGGCGUAAAGGGAGUCUAGGCGGCUUGGUAAGUCAGAGGUGAAAUCCCGCGGCUCAACCGCGGAGUUGCCUUUGAUACUGCCGAGCUUGAGGCCGUGAGAGGAGACUGGAAUUCCCAGUGUAGCGGUGAAAUGCAUAGAUAUUGGGAAGAACACCAGUGGCGAAGGCGAGUCUCUGGCACGGAUCUGACGCUGAAGCUCGAAAGCUAGGGGAGCAAACGGG
RNAcentral lists this ribosomal RNA (253 nucleotides) under uncultured bacterium. Its description in RNAcentral is "partial 16S ribosomal RNA". It matches the Rfam family "Bacterial small subunit ribosomal RNA", at positions 524 to 776 of the family's 1533-position model. The record is from RNAcentral.